RNAcentral lists this unclassified non-coding RNA (601 nucleotides) under Hevea brasiliensis (rubber tree). The record is from RNAcentral. Lineage: Eukaryota; Viridiplantae; Streptophyta; Magnoliopsida; Malpighiales; Euphorbiaceae.
GCAGCUCCUGAAUACAUAAUGACUGGUCAUUUGACGACUAUGAGUGAUGUAUUUAGUUUUGGAGUGGUGCUUUUAGAGCUGUUAACGGGCAGGCGAUCUGUGGACAAGAACCGUCCAUCUAGAGAGAAGAACCUAGUAAAAUGGGCAAGACCCUUAUUGAAGGAUCACAAUAAGCUUGACCAGAUAAUGGACCCAAGGCUUGAAGGGCAGUAUUCAACGGAGGGUGCUAGGAAGGCAGCAGCAUUGACUUACCAAUGCUUGAGCCACCACUGCAAGUCUAGACCCACAAUGAGCACUGUGGUCAUGACCUUGGAUUCUCUGCUGGAGCUAAAUGACAUGCCAAUUGGACCUUUUGUGUUUGCUGUUCCAACUGAAGGCAAGAAUAAGGAAUGCAGUGAACAAGAGAAGGAAAAAGAAAGUGAAAAUGAAUGCCUUGAGCUAAAAGAUGAGAACAAAUGUGAAGAAAAUGAGGCAGAAUUGAAAGAUAAGAGUCGCAACCGGCAUAAAAAAGGUCACAGGCACAGACGGCGAAUUAAGUCACUGAGGUCUAGAGCUGUCUAUUCUGAUACUGCUCUGUAUAAAACUUUAGGCACUGGCUUUU